RNAcentral lists this ribosomal RNA (459 nucleotides) under uncultured bacterium. RNAcentral describes it as "partial 16S ribosomal RNA". It matches the Rfam family "Bacterial small subunit ribosomal RNA", at positions 338 to 795 of the family's 1533-position model. The record is from RNAcentral.
CCUACGGGUGGCAGCAGUGAGGAAUAUUGGUCAAUGGCCGGAAGCCUGAACCAGCCAAGUCGCGUGAGGGACGACUGCCCUACGGGUUGUAAACUUCUUUUAUAAAGGAAGAAUAAGAGGCACGUGUAGCUUUAUGUCUGUACCUUAUGAAUAAGCAUCGGCUAACUCCGUGCCAGCAGCCGCGGUAAUACGGAGGAUCCGAGCGUUAUCCGGAUUUAUUGGGUUUAAAGGGUGCGUAGGCGGUUUUUUAAGUAAGUGGGAAAAGGUUGGGGCUUAACCUUAAUUUGCCAUUGAUACUGUAAGACUUGAGUACAGAUGAGGUAGGCGGAAUGCGUGGUGUAGCGGUGAAAUGCUUAGAUAUAACUAAGAACUCCGAUAGCGAAGGCAGCUUACCAGACUGCGACUGACGCUGAUGCACGAAAGCGUGGGUAGCAAACAGGAUUAGAUACCCGAGUAGUC